Molecule: unclassified non-coding RNA, 237 nt
Filed under: Mycochaetophora gentianae
Lineage: Eukaryota; Fungi; Ascomycota; Leotiomycetes; Helotiales
Description: ITS1
Source: RNAcentral
CUAGAGCAAAGGACAGGCAGCGCCCCACACGAGCUUGCUCGGUGGCGGGCUACCCUACUUCGGUAGGGUUUAGAGUCGUCGAACCUCUCGGAGAAGUUCGGUCCUGACCUCCACCCUUGAAUAAAUUACCUUUGUUGCUUUGGCGGGACGCCUUGUGCCAGCGGCUUCGGCUGUUGAGCGCCCGCCAGAGGACCUACAACUCUUGUUUUUAGUGAUGUCUGAGUACUAUAAAUAGUU